This 1270-nucleotide ribosomal RNA is filed under the name Trissolcus basalis. RNAcentral describes it as "16S ribosomal RNA". Lineage: Eukaryota; Metazoa; Arthropoda; Insecta; Hymenoptera; Scelionidae. The record is from RNAcentral.
UUUUAUUAUAAUUUAUUUAUUUAUAUAUUUUUAGUUUAUUUUUAAUAAAAAUAUUUUUAAAAAUAAUUGUUUAAGUAAUUAUUUUAAGAAAAAAUUUUAUUACUUUAAAAUUGUAAAAUUUGUUAUAAAAAUUAUAAAAUAAAAAUUUAUUUUUUGUUCCUUUUGUAUAAGGAUAAUUUAAAUAAAUUUUAAAAAUUUUUAAUUUUCUCGAAAUAAAUAGAGAUAAAAUUUUAUUUUUUUUAAUGUUUCAUAAUUAUAUAAAAUAAAAUUUUUGAAAUUAUAUGUUAUUCAAUUUUUAAUAUCUAGUUUUUUAAUAAAUAAAUUUAAUUUAGAAUUAUUUAUGAGAUUAAUUUUAUUAAUAAAAAAAUUUUUAUAAUAAUUUAAAAAUAAAAGAGAUAAAUUUUUUAUUAAAUUAUAAAUAAAAUAUAAUGUUUUAAUGUAUAAUUUUUAAUUAAUAUUAAUUUAUAUUUUUAAAAUUUUAAAAUUAAGUACUUAUAAAAGAUUUUUUAUUUAUUUUAAUUAAAAUAUUAAAAUUUAAAUUUUAAUUUUUAAAAAUUUAUAAAUAAUGAUUUAAUUAGUAUUAAAAUAAUAUUUUUUAAUUAAAAUUUUUUAAUAAUUAAUUUUUAAUAAYUUGGCAAUAAUAAUUUUCACUUGUUUAUCAAAAACAUGUCUUAAAGAUUAAAUAAUUUUAGGUUUAAUCUGUUCAAUGAUUAUAAAUUAAAUAAUUGCAGUAUUUUAACUGUGCAAAGGUAGCAAAAUCAUUUGUUUUUUAAUUGAAAACUGGAAUGAAAGAUUGAAUGAAAAAUUAACUUUUUUAAAAUUAAUAAAAGAAUUUAAGUUUAAAAUAAAAAAUUUUUAAUAGAUUUAAAAGACGAUAAGACCCUAUAAAAUUUAAUAUUUUUUUAAUAAUUAUUUUUUAAAAUAAAUUUUUAUUAAAAAUUUAUUUAAUUGGGGUGAUUAAAAAAUUUAAAAAACUUUUUUUAUAAAAAUAAAUUAAAAUUUUUUAUUAAAAAUAAUUAUAUUUAUUUUUAAAUUAAAUUACUUUAGGGAUAACAGCAUAAUAUUUUUAAAUAGUUCAAAUUGAUAAAAAUGAUUAUGACCUCGAUGUUGAAUUAAAAAAAAUGUAUAUAGAAAAAAAUAUAUAAUUUAGUCUGUUCGACUAUUAAAUUUUUACAUGAUUUGAGUUCAAAUCGGCGUGAGCCAGAUUGGUUUCUAUCUUUAAAAAAUUAAUAAAUUUUUGUACGAAAGGAUUAAUUUAUAAAAUUUUUUU